This 784-nucleotide long non-coding RNA is filed under the name Populus tremula. Its description in RNAcentral is "long non-coding RNA (PTRE_LNC002910)". The record is from RNAcentral. Lineage: Eukaryota; Viridiplantae; Streptophyta; Magnoliopsida; Malpighiales; Salicaceae.
GGGUGAGUGGAAUAAUCUUUAAUAUGCAUAUAAUAUAAAUAAAUAUGUAUGUUGAUUAUACAAUGAGUACAACUAGUAAAUUUCUUGAAUAUUUAUAUAUGUUGCUUUAUUUUCCGAGUACUCAUUUAUUCUUGAAUUUGCACUCGCAAUCUAUUAAAAUAAAUUCUAUUUGAUAUGAUAUACGAUUCUUUGAUGAUUAUGUGAAUAUUUGUUAUGCCUUGAUAUGGGACUUGUCAGUACUCCAUGCUAACGGAGAAUAGUUUGCAUGUGUGCACAUAGUAUUCUGUAUACCUAGCUGGUGAGAGAGGCAUCAGCUUGUGGCGAUUGAUCAUCCCACAGUGGUCACCGACGGGUGUCAUCUGAUCUCUGACAUGUAAUCCACUACGUUAUGAUAAUAUGUUACGUUAUGAUAAUAUGUUUAGUAAGUAUAUGUAUAUAUAUAUAUAUAUAUAUUAAGAUAAAUCAUCUUACAAAUUAUUAAUAUCUGAAAUAUCUGAAAUGUAUAUUAAAUAUUAUUCCCUCACUGAGUUGGUUGAACUCACCCCUCAUUUUUUAAAUAUUAUUUCAGGUUCUUAGUUUCUGGGACUUUGUUGAGUGUUUCCGCUUCUUUUGUUCUGGUCGGUAUGCCUUGCUUGUUCGCGAGGCUUUCCUUUCAGUUUUGUUUUGAUGUCUUAAACGCUCCAUUGUUACCUUGGUUUAAUUAAAUUUGGAUUUUGACAAUGUAAAUAUAUUAUGAAUUAUUAUUUUGUUUUAAUAACUAUCUUUCGGUUUUAUCAGUUUUGAA